GCUUUGUUUUACUACUUUUCCCUUUCCUUUGUUUUUUGUGCUUUUCUUCUUCCUUGUCUUUUUGUUUCUUUCCAUCUUCCUUGCUUGUUCACACACCCAGAGGCCAACUAGUUUUAAGUUUUGUUUAUUGUUGCCAACAAUACCACCAAAGCUUUCUCAACGAAGUGGCUGAGGCCACUUUCCCUUUUUUUUUUUUACUCUUCUCCCCUUUUCUCUUUCGACAGGAGUCUUCAUUCUUCUUUGUCAUUUGCUUUUCGUCACUUUUCUUUUUCAGCUUCUGGGAUUUCUUCAACUUUUUGGCUUAUGUUACUUUUGAAUUCUUCAGCAACAGCAACACAGGAGGCUUCUUGACUGAAAUCUUUAGGGAAGGGCUAUCAUACCGCCAGUAACAGAGUGAGAACCCUUUAUGGUUUUGUUUGCAAUUUGCUGCAGAGGAGUGCUGGCUUAGUAAUUUUCGUGUCUGGCUUGGGAUUUUUCUUUGUUGGCAAACUUUGAAGCACAGAACGUGGGUGUGAAUCAUCAGCUUUUCACGCUUUGCCAUCUUUUUGUCUUCCAAUUUGCAGACUUGGAAUUUCGUUGUGCUGAAGGUGGGUUGGGCACAAAGCAGUUGGGAUUUUGAUGUUUUCUGUUUUUGGUACUCAAGAACACUCGCAAGGUCUUCUUUGAGUACCACAAUGUGCCUAUGGACACUCUCAAGGUGAUCACAGUACUUGGUACAGUGGGGUUCUUGCAGAAGCCCAUCUGUAAUUCACAACAGAGAGGUCCUUGUGAGAGCUCUCUUUGUGUAAGUAGCACAAUUAUUGCCAAUUUGGGAGGAUUUGUUCACAUUUUUCCACUGCUGAGGUCUCUGUUGAUAUGAUACACUUCUUGAUAUCAAACAUGGAGGAAGUUCAGGCUUCUGUACAAUGGCCUCACAUACAUAUUUUUUUUGCCUGUAAGUCAGUUGUACAUAAAAGGAUACUCAGAUGAAUUUGUUUAUACCUUCUCAAUGGUAUUGUG
Prunus mume (Japanese apricot) is the source of this 999-nucleotide long non-coding RNA. RefSeq lists it as uncharacterized. The record is from RefSeq and is a predicted model, not a curated record. Lineage: Eukaryota; Viridiplantae; Streptophyta; Magnoliopsida; Rosales; Rosaceae.